GAUCCGGUAGUUCAGCUGGUUAGAAUGCCGCCCUGUCACGGCGGAGGUCGCGGGGACGAGUCCCGUCCGGAUCG
RNAcentral lists this transfer RNA (74 nucleotides) under Chryseobacterium luquanense. RNAcentral's name for it is "tRNA-Asp". It matches the Rfam family "tRNA". From Rfam's summary of the family: Transfer RNA (tRNA) molecules are approximately 80 nucleotides in length. Lineage: Bacteria; Pseudomonadati; Bacteroidota; Flavobacteriia; Flavobacteriales; Weeksellaceae. The record is from RNAcentral.